Molecule: long non-coding RNA, 463 nt
Organism: Mangifera indica (mango)
Lineage: Eukaryota; Viridiplantae; Streptophyta; Magnoliopsida; Sapindales; Anacardiaceae
Exons: 2
Source: RefSeq, a predicted model, not a curated record
UUUCUUGGCAUCCAAAUGCAUCCUUAUCAUGCUUUAUUAUCAUUAUUCUUUCUUCAUUAGACACUAAUUAAUCUUAUAAUUCACACAGUUUUGCCCACAGUUACUGAGAUUACAGUUGAGACUCCUGAUGAUUCACAACUCACUCUCAAGGGAAUAUCAACGGACAGGAUAUUGGAUGUGAGAAAGCUUUUGGGUGUUCAUGUGGAGACUUGUCAUUUGACAAAUUUCUCUUUGUCUCAUGAGGUUUAUUUCUUCUUUAUCUCUUUUUACUAUCAAUACUUUUUAAUUAUUUUGUCUUUGCCCCAAAAUUCCCAGUUUCUUUCCUAUAUAUCCCUUUCAUGAUGGUUACUUUUCUUUGCCCUUAGAUUGUGGGGCUCUUUUCCUGUUUUGUGCACGACACUGACAUCGUGUCAUUCAAUGUGGUCCAUUUUGAUGUCAUAUGAUCAUAUAUCGAUUGUGACUA